AACAGAAUAGGAAACUCUUUUACCUGAAAACGUAAAUGUGGCUACUGAAAUUAAUUUAAAUUCAAACAACGCAACACUAGCCACAACUGGAAAUGGUGAGAUUUAUGAGUUAACUAGGUUGAUUGUGAAUUUCAUGUAAUGAGGCAAAAGAUAGAAAUUAGAAAAUUCGCAUGGGAUAAGAAAAUAUUCUGAAAUAUAUUUUUUUUAUGAAUAGAAUUAGAUUGAAUAUUCAAGAGAUUGUACAGUAUAAUCAAAACUGAACAACUUUGUUAGUGAAUUGACCCCAUAGAUGAUAUAAAUUUUCACAUCCAAAAACUCAUUAUCACAAGCUAAGCAGUAAGCAAUAUUUAGCUGAAAUUCAUUUAAUACUAAAGAAAAGGAACUAAAAACAUACAAAUGAGAUUCUCACAAGAAAAAGAAAAGUUACAUAUAAUAUAACAGGAGCAGAUUCUCACAAGAAAGAGGGAAAGGCAUCAACAUAGGCACAAUAACAAAUCUUAAGUCAUUCUUAUGCUUACCCAAUAAAAUAAAAUUUAAUGUUUUAUGAGAUUUGUUACUUUGAGAUUAAGGAAUCAGGUCAAUAGAAACUUAACAAGCUGAUGAUGUCUCUAUAAUG
Molecule: unclassified non-coding RNA, 616 nt
Filed under: Hevea brasiliensis (rubber tree)
Lineage: Eukaryota; Viridiplantae; Streptophyta; Magnoliopsida; Malpighiales; Euphorbiaceae
Source: RNAcentral